RNAcentral lists this ribosomal RNA (492 nucleotides) under uncultured bacterium. RNAcentral's name for it is "partial 16S ribosomal RNA". It matches the Rfam family "Bacterial small subunit ribosomal RNA", at positions 29 to 507 of the family's 1533-position model. The record is from RNAcentral.
AGUGAACGCUGGCGGUAGGCCUAACACAUGCAAGUCGAACGGCAGCACAGUAAGAGCUUGCUCUUACGGGUGGCGAGUGGCGGGCGGGUGAGGAAUACAUCGGAAUCUACUUUUUCGUGGGGGAUAAUGUAGGGAAACUUACGCUAAUACCGCAUACGACCUACGGGUGAAAGCAGGGGAUCUUCGGACCUUGCGCGAUUGAAUGAGCCGAUGUCGGAUUAGCUAGUUGGCGGGGUAAAGGCCCACCAAGGCGACGAUCCGUAGCUGGUCUGAGAGGAUGAUCAGCCACACUGGAACUGAGACACGGUCCAGACUCCUACGGGAGGCGGCAGUGGGGAAUAUUGGACAAUGGGCGCAAGCCUGAUCCAGCCAUACCGCGUGGGUGAAGAAGGCCUUCGGGUUGUAAAGCCCUUUUGUUGGGAAAGAAAAGCAGCAGGUUAAUACCCCGCUGUUCUGACGGUACCCAAAGAAUAAGCACCGGCUAACUUCGUG